RNAcentral lists this ribosomal RNA (267 nucleotides) under uncultured bacterium. RNAcentral describes it as "partial 16S ribosomal RNA". It matches the Rfam family "Bacterial small subunit ribosomal RNA", at positions 355 to 614 of the family's 1533-position model. The record is from RNAcentral.
UGGGGAAUAUUGCACAAUGGGCGCAAGCCUGAUGCAGCCAUGCCGCGUGUGUGAAGAAGGCCUUCGGGUUGUAAAGCACUUUCAGCGAGGAGGAAGGGUUCAGUGUUAAUAGCACUGUGCAUUGACGUUACUCGCAGAAGAAGCACCGGCUAACUCCGUGCCAGCAGCCGCGGUAAUACGGAGGGUGCAAGCGUUAAUCGGAAUUACUGGGCGUAAAGCGCACGCAGGCGGUUUGUUAAGUCAGAUGUGAAAUCCCCGCGCUUAACG